Molecule: ribosomal RNA, 253 nt
Filed under: uncultured bacterium
Lineage: Bacteria
Description: partial 16S ribosomal RNA
Rfam family: Bacterial small subunit ribosomal RNA
Source: RNAcentral
UACGGGGGGGGCAAGCGUUGUUCGGAAUUACUGGGCGUAAAGGGCGCGUAGGCGGCCUGCUAAGUCGGAUGUGAAAUCCCUCGGCUCAACCGAGGAACUGCAUCCGAUACUGGCGGGCUUGAAUACGGGAGAGGGAUGUGGAAUUCCAGGUGUAGCGGUGAAAUGCGUAGAUAUCUGGAGGAACACCGGUGGCGAAGGCGGCAUCCUGGACCGGUAUUGACGCUGAGGCGCGAAAGCUAGGGGAGCAAACAGG